RNAcentral lists this ribosomal RNA (787 nucleotides) under uncultured Thelephoraceae. RNAcentral describes it as "eukaryotic LSU rRNA". The stretch from base 211 to 365 matches the Rfam family "5.8S ribosomal RNA". The record is from RNAcentral. Lineage: Eukaryota; Fungi; Basidiomycota; Agaricomycetes; Thelephorales; Thelephoraceae.
AGGAUCAUUACUGAACUGUCGACAUGAGUUGUUGCUGGUCUUCAAAUGGGGGCAUGUGCACACUCUGUUUACACAUCCACUCACACCUGUGCACCUUCUGUAGUUCUAUGGGCUGGGGGACCCUGUCCUCCUUCUGUAGCUCUACGUCUUUACACACACACUAUAAUAAAGUCUUGUGGAAUGUAUGCCGCGUUUAACGCAAUACAAUACAACUUUCAGCAACGGAUCUCUUGGCUCUCGCAUCGAUGAAGAACGCAGCGAAAUGCGAUAAGUAAUGUGAAUUGCAGAAUUCAGUGAAUCAUCGAAUCUUUGAACGCACCUUGCGCCCCUUGGUUAUUCCGAAGGGCAUGCCUGUUUGAGUAUCAUGAACACCUCAACUCUUGUGGUUUCCCACAAUGAGCUUGGACCAUGGGGGUUUUGUUGGCCUUCUGGUCAGCUCCUCUCAAAUAUAUCAGCUUACCGGUGUUUGGUGGCAUUAUGGGUGUGAUAACUAUCUACGCUCAUUGUUGUCUCCAAAUGGCCUCCAGUGAUGGGGGUUCGCUGGAGCUCAUAAAUGUCUCUCCCUAGUGAAGACAACCUUUGAAGUUCGAUCUCAAAUCAGGUAGGACUACCCGCUGAACUUAAGCAUAUCAAUAAGCGGAGGAAAAGAAACUAACAAGGAUUCCCCUAGUAACUGCGAGUGAAGCGGGAAGAGCUCAAAUUUAAAAUCUGGCGUGCCUCUGGUCGUCCGAGUUGUAGUCUGGAGAAGCGUUUUCCGUGUUGGACCGUGUACAAGUCCCUUGGAACA